Molecule: ribosomal RNA, 497 nt
Filed under: uncultured bacterium
Lineage: Bacteria
Description: partial 16S ribosomal RNA
Rfam family: Bacterial small subunit ribosomal RNA
Source: RNAcentral
GAUGAACGCUGGCGGCGUGCCUAAUACAUGCAAGUCGAGCGAACAGACGAGGAGCUUGCUCCUCUGACGUUAGCGGCGGACGGGUGAGUAACACGUGGAUAACCUACCUAUAAGACUGGGAUAACUUCGGGAAACCGGAGCUAAUACCGGAUAAUAUAUUAAACCGCAUGGUUCAAUAGUGAAAGACGGUUUUGCUGUCACUUAUAGAUGGAUCCGCGCCGCAUUAGCUAGUUGGUAAGGUAACGGCUUACCAAGGCAACGAUGCGUAGCCGACCUGAGAGGGUGAUCGGCCACACUGGAACUGAGACACGGUCCAGACUCCUACGGGAGGCAGCAGUAGGGAAUCUUCCGCAAUGGGCGAAAGCCUGACGGAGCAACGCCGCGUGCGUGAUGAAGGUCUUCGGAUCGUAAAACUCUGUUAUUAGGGAAGAACAAAUGUGUAAGUAACUAUGCACGUCUUGACGGUACCUAAUCAGAAAGCCACGGCUAACUACGUG